Long non-coding RNA from Alligator mississippiensis (American alligator), 612 nucleotides. RefSeq lists it as uncharacterized. Lineage: Eukaryota; Metazoa; Chordata; Crocodylia; Alligatoridae. The record is from RefSeq and is a predicted model, not a curated record. The transcript has 4 exons.
CAAGCGUGCAUCCUCAGAGCCAGGAUAAACACUCCGUUACUCUCCCUCUAAACUGCUCUUCUGGGAGGGAGAGAAAAUAAAUAGGGGGAGAGAGAGAGGCAUUUGAAGUAACCUUUUUAAGGAGGAGGCAGCAGCCAAUAGAACCUUUUUCUUUUCUUUUUUUUUUUUCCUUCCACUUCUUACUAGAGAAAUUCGUGUUAUCUCAGCAAUUAAGGAGAAGAGCCAGCGUCUAGGGUUCCAGACUGUGAGGGGAAGUAGCAACUUGUACCAGGGUGACAACACAGACCUGUCUAUCUUGGACCACUCCUUGCAUGUCCUCUUCACGAGUUCCAUUGUUUUCCCUGAAAUUCUGCAAAUAUAUUCUGUUGAUUCGGAGAGCUUUGAUGAUUCGGGCAGUCCUCGGUGGCUGUAGCAGGGAGCUGCAGCUGACUCUGAGCUGUUUCCCCCCAGGUGCUCUGCCCGGGCCAUCUCCAGCCCUUUAAGAAAAACAAAUGGAGAAAAGCUCCAGGACUCACGGCACCUGCAGCGGGCUCAGGGCUUUGAGGGGCUUGUGCAGAGCCCCCCGCACAGCAUGGGACAGUGGGGGCAGUUGGGAUCGCCCCUCUGCCAGCA